UUUCCCAAGGCACUGCUCUAUUCAGCUUUCUAAAGCAUCAGUAAAAUCCCCUUUAGAAAGAAAUGGUCCGGAGCAUGUUUUCUGUGGAAGUAGCCUGAAAUGGUACUUUACUGGAAAUAAGAAUCAACAAAUAGGGAGGCGAUUACUGGUGAUAGUGGUGGCGAUAAUUGCCCUGUUGACAGUCUAGAAUCUAGAGAUAGAACUGUAGAGUGGCAGAGUAAUGAAUAUAGAGGUCAGGAAGCUGUGCUGGAGUUUGAUUAAAAAAAUUUGGAUAUCCCAGGCACUGCUGAAGAUGGUCAAGAAAGCAGGGAUCUCAAAUAAAGGAAAACAAAAAGGAAACCAUAACCUGAUUUUUGCACAUAUCAUUUAAGAGUAUGAUAUAGUGCAGAUACACUCAACAAUUUUUGGCUCCAGACUACUGGCUCCUGCCUAAGGGGUCGGAGUGGCUA
Molecule: long non-coding RNA, 449 nt
Organism: Populus euphratica (Euphrates poplar)
Lineage: Eukaryota; Viridiplantae; Streptophyta; Magnoliopsida; Malpighiales; Salicaceae
Exons: 2
Source: RefSeq, a predicted model, not a curated record